UACAGAGACCUCGAGCGUUUUCCGGAAUCAUUGGGCGUAAAGCGUCCGCAAGUGGCUAUACAAGUCGAGCUUGAAAUCCGGUGGCUUAACCACCGACACGGGUUCGAUACUGUAUGGCUAGAGGAUUGGAGAGGCUGAUGGAACUCCCGGUGUAGCAGUGAAAUGCGUUAAUAUCGGGAAGAACACCAAUUGCGAAGGCAGUCAGCUAUUCAAUUUCUGACACGCAGGGACGAAAGCGUGGGGAGCGAAC
RNAcentral lists this ribosomal RNA (250 nucleotides) under uncultured bacterium. RNAcentral's name for it is "partial 16S ribosomal RNA". It matches the Rfam family "Bacterial small subunit ribosomal RNA", at positions 524 to 773 of the family's 1533-position model. The record is from RNAcentral.